Molecule: long non-coding RNA, 993 nt
Organism: Peromyscus californicus insignis
Lineage: Eukaryota; Metazoa; Chordata; Mammalia; Rodentia; Cricetidae
Exons: 3
Source: RefSeq, a predicted model, not a curated record
ACAAAAGUGAUCUCCACCCUGCCUCCGAGGCCUGCUGGAUUGCCCCCUGGGCCCAGCCCACAGGUCCCUCCCACUGACUAUGGCAACAGCCAGAACUGGGAGCCUCCUAGGUGCUACACGUGCAUCAUCAGCCCCAGGCCUCCCUUAGGGCCUCUACCUUCAAACCACAGCAUCCCCACCCCACCCUCACCCCAGGUGGGAAGCUGGCGGCUCAGCCUGGAGGGACCCUUUUAAUUUCCAGGAUAAACAGACUGUCAUCCUGGCCUAGCCCUCUGCGGGCUUGCUGCUCCCCGCCCCCCUCAAUCCGCAGUGCACAGCCCGCUCUGUUCUCCUGCCAACUUGGCAGCUCGCUGCUGCUGCUGUUACUAUCAACACCUCUGAGGGAAAAGGGAGAGAAGUCGGCUCUGAUCGCCUAGUGCACUGAGCCACAAAUGCACGUUGAGCCAGAGCACUCUGGAAUGUCUCCCAAGCUCCGAAGGCUCCGGGUUGGGCAAGCUCCACGCAGGCCCAGCCCAUUGACUUCAGGAAGCUCCGGGUGCCUGUCUCUGUCUCCGGCUAGGACUCCCGGGGGCCCAGUCGUCAAGAACCAAGAACUUCUUCAAGGACACAAGGCACAGUCUGCUGAUAGAUGUGCCCUCGCCCAGAUGUGAAACUGAUAGUAAGAUUAUUUCCAGCCCCAGGGAUCUGAAAACCCUCACCCUCCUGCUAAGAACUACCCAGCUCCCCAGAAAACCUUCAGACUAUCCCGGGGCCUGGCCACAAGAAAGAACUCACUCUGCAAGCUGGAAUGGAAAUAAACCCCGAGAGGCUGCACCUGUGAGCAAGCCCUCAGAUGAUGCCCUGUCAGCGUUUCCAUGACAAACUCAUAUUUCCGGAUGCUUCUCUUCCAGCUUGAAGAGCAUGCCUCUCGGCGAGGCUUGAUACUGAAAAUGCAUUCAUAAUUUUUUUCCCAAAAAAAGAUUGCACGCUCCAUAAAAAUUUACACUCUCCGUA